Molecule: ribosomal RNA, 467 nt
Filed under: uncultured bacterium
Lineage: Bacteria
Description: partial 16S ribosomal RNA
Rfam family: Bacterial small subunit ribosomal RNA
Source: RNAcentral
GAUGAACGCUGGCGGCGUGCUUAACACAUGCAAGUCGAACGGUGAAGCAGAGCUUGCUCUGUGGAUCAGUUGCGAACGGGUGAGUAACACGUGAGCAACCUGCCCCUGACUCUGGGAUAAGCGCUGGAAACGGCGUCUAAUACUGGAUAUGAGCUGCGACCGCAUGGUCAGCAGUUGGAAAGAUUUUUCUGUCUGGGAUGGGCUCACGGCCUAUCAGCUUGUUGGUGAGGUAAUGGCUCACCAAGGCGUCGACGGGUAGCCGGCCUGAGAGGGUGACCGGCCACAAUGGGACUGAGACACGGCCCAGACUCCUACGGGAGGCAGCAGUGGGGAAUAUUGCACAAUGGGCGAAAGCCUGAUGCAGCAACGCCGCGUGAGGGAUGACGGCCUUCGGGUUGUAAACCUCUUUUAGCAGGGAAGAAGCGAAAGUGACGGUACCUGCAGAAAAAGCGCCGGCUAACUACGUG